GAGUAACGCGUGGGAACAUACCCUUUACUACGGAACAACUCCGGGAAACUGGAGCUAAUACCGUAUGUGCCCUUCGGGGGAAAGAUUUAUCGGUAAAGGAUUGGCCCGCGUUGGAUUAUCUAGUUGGUGGGGUAAAGGCCUACCAAGGCGACGAUCCAUAGCUGGUCUGAGAGGAUGAUCAGCCACAUUGGGACUGAGACACGGCCCAAACUCCUACGGGAGGCAGCAGUGGGGAAUAUUGGACAAUGGGCGCAAGCCUGAUCCAGCCAUGCCGCGUGAGUGAUGAAGGCCUUAGGGUUGUAAAGCUCUUUCACCGAUGAAGAUAAUGACGGUAGUCGGAGAAUAAGCCCCGGCUAACUUCGUGCCAGCAGCCGCGGUAAUACGAAGGGGGCUAGCGUUGUUCGGAAUUACUGGGCGUAAAGCGCACGUAGGCGGAUAUUUAAGUCAGGGGUGAAAUCCCAGAGCUCAACUCUGGAACUGCCUUUGAUACUGGGUAUCUUGAGUAUGGAAGAGGUAAGUGGAAUUGCGAGUGUAGAGGUGAAAUUCGUAGAUAUUCGCAGGAACACCAGUGGCGAAGGCGGCUUACUGGUCCAUUACUGACGCUGAGGUGCGAAAGCGUG
Molecule: ribosomal RNA, 620 nt
Filed under: Rhizobium sp. I12B-00813
Lineage: Bacteria; Pseudomonadati; Pseudomonadota; Alphaproteobacteria; Hyphomicrobiales; Rhizobiaceae
Description: bacterial SSU rRNA
Rfam family: Bacterial small subunit ribosomal RNA
Source: RNAcentral